UGAAGUAUGUGCACGUUCAACUUGGCCUAUGUACUUGCAACUAGCUACCCCAAUUGUUUAGACACUUCAAUAACCCCGGCAUGCAUUGCAUGUCCAACAUGGAGCAACUAACUUAUACGGAGCUUAUAAGUUGGCAACCUGAGAGACAAGUUCACUUUAGUGAUGUGCGGAUGCCACCUCCAGCUGAGGGUAAAAAGGAUAUCGGGGAGGGAGAAGAGGUGGAGAUCUUCUCCCGGGCCAAUGAGCAGGAGCCAUGUGGCUGGUGGCUUGCCAAAUUGCGCAUGAUGAAGGGAGAUUUCUAUGUGAUCGAGUAUGCUGCCUGUGACGCCACGUACAAUGAAAUAGUCACCUUUGAACGUCUCCGGCCUGUGAAUGUCAACAAGGUGGUGUCAAAGAGCUCCUUCUUCAAAUGCACAGUCCCAGUUCCUACGAUCUGAAAGCAGCAGUACAAAGCAACUGGCAUCCGCUUUCCAAGAGGAGUUUACAGUCAGGGUGGACCUCAUGGGCCUUGCCAUUGGAAGCCAUGGCAGCAACAUUCAACAAGCCAGUCCCUGGAAUCACUGCUAUUGAGCUGGAUGAAGGGAUGAGCAAUAGACAGUGUAUGUACCGCCAAGACAUUUGUUUCUUAAUAAAGCUAAUAUAUUCUUCUUCAAAGAAUGAGGAGGCGGUUAAGAAGGCAAGGAAUUAUCUGGAGUUUCUCGAAGAUUCUGUUCAGAUCCCAAGGAAGUUGGUCGGCAAGGUAAUUGGCAAGAAUGGAAAAGUCAUUCAGGAGAUCAUUGACAAGUCUGGGGUGGUGAGAGUAAGGAUUGAGGGGGACAAGGACAACAUACAGCCACGUCAAGAAGGAAUGGUCCCGUUUACCUUUGUCGGCACCAAGGAGAACAUUGGGAAUGCCCAGGUGCUUCUGGAGUACCACAUCGCCUACCUGAACGAGGUAGAGCUACUGCGUAUGGAGAGACUGCAGAUAGAUGAGCAGCUUGAAGCUGAUUGGGAUGGGCCAAAGGCCUUCAUCUGGCAACUCAGCAGACAAGGACAAGAGCUACACCACGGACGACAGUGUGGCUGCUACCUCUGUGCACACCAGCCGCUCCUACACUGGCAGAGGCCGCGGACGCAGAGGCCCCAACUACACCUCCGGCUAUGGCACAAACUCUGAGCAAUCCAAUGACUCUGAGACUGACUCGGAGUGGAAGGAUGAGCUGAGUGACUGGUCCCUGGCGGGAGAGGAACCUGAGAGGUACCCAGCCACAGAGAGACAGCAGGAGGAGAGUUGGUCAAGGGAGGGGGAGAGGGCCCAGUGGCAGGGGCCGAGGAGCCUCCAACACCGCUCUAAAGGAUCAUGACGGCAACCCAUACAGUGUGCUUGACAACACGGCGAUCGACCAGACGGCCGACUCCAACCUCAACACAAACUGCCGCCUCCUCUCCCGCCGGACUGAUGAGCCAUUGAUGGCAUGAGUGAAUCGGACAAAGCUUCCCUCAGUGAGAAUGGCCUUGAUCCCGGGCUGAUCACAAAGCAGAUAGAUGAACUAAAAAAGAACUGGGGCAUGUUGAGUGUAUUGCAGAGCACAGCCUCUCCACAUCAGCAAAGAAAAGCAAUGGCCCCAGCAAUGGAAGAGGUGAGGAACUAGGCAGAGCUUCCACAGAAAGGGCUGCCAACGUCUGUUACCAAGGGAACAGUGACUAGCAGCCUGUCCUGAAUAGUGUUUUCUAAUCUAUGGACCCAUUAAUUGUACUAUAUUUGUACAAUAGUUAUUGUACAAGCUUGCCAAAGAUGGACAUAUGGACUUCCAUAUUCUCUACUGUACUUUUCAGUUCCCUAACCAUGGGACACGGGGGGAGAUUUAGCACUGAACCGAGACAUGAAAAAGCAUGUUUCAAGAUUAUCAGAUGUUGUGCCUUGAGAGUAGAUUUAACAUAGUUGCCUGGCUGUAGUAAAGUUGACAAAGGUGAGAAGAAUCCAGUUAUCCUAAUAUUUAUUGAGCUUUGGCAGAUUUUUUUUUUUUACACUUUUAUAUACAACCACUUGUAAAGAAAAACUAGGAAAUGCAGUUGUAGAGGGAAAAAAACCAUUUUGCACUGAAUUGGAAUUUAUUUCCCAUAAGAAAAAAGAUGGAAACUGGUCUGUCAAUGUUCUUGUCCCAUUUUUUUAUGCUGAACCUGUAUGCUGGGAUUCUGUUUCUCAUGCACCCACCAGAGGCUGGAAUGAUGGUGGCAGUAACUUGUCUGGAAGGAGCUUUAUUUUGUGUAUUUAAAAAUGUACAGUAUUUAAAAAGCUGUUAACACUGAACUGGCGGAACUACCGUGUUUUUAUGCAGGUGACAAUUUGGACUACUGAGGUCAAUUUCCAGAUUUUGGUUCGGUAAACUGUUUGUCUGUUUUUUAAUGAUCAUUCAGGUUGUUUGAUGUGCAAUAUGUUUUGUAUGCCAGUACUUCUUAAAUAAAACCUGAACUUUCAUCUAGAUCCAAAACCA
Molecule: RNA transcript, 2474 nt
Organism: Salmo salar (Atlantic salmon)
Lineage: Eukaryota; Metazoa; Chordata; Actinopteri; Salmoniformes; Salmonidae
Gene name: RNA-binding protein FXR1-like
Source: RefSeq, a predicted model, not a curated record